AGCUUUGCGCAGUGGCAGUAUCAUAGCCAAUGAGGUUUAUCCGAGAUACAAUUAUUGCUAACGGAAACUUGGAGUGAGUCCAGGGAUAUAUAGUUUGAAAAGUUUCCCCCACGGUUUUCUGAGAUAGACCCAGAGGUC
RNAcentral lists this small nuclear RNA (138 nucleotides) under Vulpes vulpes (red fox). RNAcentral's name for it is "U4 spliceosomal RNA (ENSVVUG00000014663.1)". The stretch from base 1 to 71 matches the Rfam family "U4 spliceosomal RNA". Rfam says of the family: U4 small nuclear RNA (U4 snRNA) is a component of the major U2-dependent spliceosome. Lineage: Eukaryota; Metazoa; Chordata; Mammalia; Carnivora; Canidae. The record is from RNAcentral.